RNAcentral lists this ribosomal RNA (361 nucleotides) under uncultured bacterium. RNAcentral describes it as "bacterial SSU rRNA". It matches the Rfam family "Bacterial small subunit ribosomal RNA", at positions 29 to 419 of the family's 1533-position model. The record is from RNAcentral.
AACGAACGCUGGCGGCAGGCCUAACACAUGCAAGUCGAGCGCCCAGCAAUGGGAGCGGCAGGCGGGUGAGUAACACGUGGGAACCUUCCCUAUAGUACGGAAUAGCCCAGGGAAACUUGGAGUAAUACCGCAUACGCCCGAGAGGGGAAAGAUUUAUCGCUAUAGGAUGGGCCCGCGUAGGAUUAGCUAGUUGGUGAGGUAAUGGCUCACCAAGGCGACGAUCCUUAGCUGGUCUGAGAGGACGACCAGCCACACUGGGACUGAGACACGGCCCAGACUCCUACGGGAGGCAGCAGUGGGGAAUAUUGGACAAUGGGCGAAAGCCUGAUCCAGCAAUGCCGCGUGAGUGAAGAAGGCCUUC